Molecule: long non-coding RNA, 1535 nt
Organism: Eriocheir sinensis (Chinese mitten crab)
Lineage: Eukaryota; Metazoa; Arthropoda; Malacostraca; Decapoda; Varunidae
Exons: 3
Source: RefSeq, a predicted model, not a curated record
CACGCCGCUUCUCGCCCAUUCCUUCCCUCCAUUUCCUCCAUUUCUCUUUCAUCCAUUUCGAUUAAAUGAAACGAAGAUGGGCAAUAAAGAAGUAGAAGAAGAAGAAGAAGAGGAAGAAGAAGACGAACUUACGAACGAACAAAACAAUCACAAGGAAACUACAAAAAGAUUACUUCAGGUAAUUCAAGGGAGAGUGAGAUGAGCUCCUUGAAGACUGAAGGUGAGGAAGAACAUGAGUGUGAGAUGAGCUCCUUGAAGAUGAGGAAGAACAUGAGAGAGAGAGAUGAUUUCCUUGAAGACUGUGAAGGUGAGGAAGAACAUGAGUGUGUGAGAUGAGUUCCUUGAAGACUGAAGAUGAGGAAGAACAUGAGUGUGUGAGAUGAGUUCCUUGAAGACUGAAGGUGAGGAAGAACAUGGCGAGAACUGAGACCCCUUGAGACAUUCAUCCCUAGUGUUCAGUCCCUCUUGUUUGUCACCCUUCCUUCUGUUCCACUUAUCCACUUAACUGAUUUUUUUUACUUUAUUAUUUCAACUUUUUUCCACGUCUGUUCCACUUUAUUAUUUCAACACUUUUUUCCACUUUUUUAUUUCAACUUUUUUCCACUUACAUCAUUACCACUUUCACUACCUCCUCUGUCUUCAUCACCACCACCACCUCUGCAUCACCAAAGAACACCACCAAACCACUCCACCACCACCAAAGCACAUUCCCACUCACUCCACCGCCUCCUGCAUCCCUAAAGAGGCUGUACCCGCUCAUCCCUAUUCAUUCCCCAGCCCUGAAGAAGAGACUCAUCACCAUCAAGGACUCUGCCUCACUCUCCCCUUCCUUCUCUCUUCCCUUUCACUGUCUUUGCUUCCUUUCCUUCAUUCACCUUCCAGUACUUUCAUUUUCGUCUUCUUUCCUUCAUCUCUUUCCAUUCCUUUUCUUUUGUAUAUCUUCUGCACUUCCAUUCCUUUCCUUCUCUUCUUCUUCCUUUCCGUUUCAAUUUUCUACCAUUCCAUUCCUUCCCCUUCCCUCUCCUCUUAUUUUUUUCCUGUUGUCUUUACUUUCCAUUCCUCCUAUUCCCUUCUUUUCCCAUCGAGUCUCUUCCCGUCCCUUUCUUUUCCUUUCCUCUCCUUCCCUUUUCUUCUUUCCCUUUCAUUUCCUCUCCUUCCCUUCAACAUAAGCUAAGACUGCGAAUAUAAAAGCUGAAGAAGUCCCAUUACCACUACUACUACUACUACUACUGCUACUACUACUACUACUACUUCUCUCCCCAAUGCCUGUCAAGUCUUGGUAUGCUAAAGAGAUGUAGUGUUUAAGUCUUCUUCCUCCCUUCUCUUCUGCUGUCUGUGUGUGUAGUACAGGAGGUAGGCAGAUGCUCUCUCUUCCCUCCUCUCCACCCUCUUUCCUCCUCGCUUUCCCUCCCUCCUCCUGUCCGUCCUCCUGUCUGUCUGUCUUGCCACCCUCAGGAGACAGGCUCUGCAAGGGAAGGGUCCAGGCAGUUAAUGUGUGGUGGGUGAAGCGCUCAAAUAGACGGUCUUGAUAUGGA